Molecule: long non-coding RNA, 1642 nt
Filed under: Homo sapiens (human)
Lineage: Eukaryota; Metazoa; Chordata; Mammalia; Primates; Hominidae
Description: HSALNT0003583
Source: RNAcentral
AGAGACAUGUCAGCCUGCCCUGCACUUGUGGGGGUGAUGUUCCUGCUGUGUCCUCUCUCAGUGGGUGCUCAAUGAAGAGCUAGCAAACUAAACUGGCUUUACAGCCCCAGAGUCAAGGGGACCUGGGGCAGUUCUAAAAACACUGGAAUCAACCCCUGCACCAGCACACAGGUUCUGUGUCCAGAAGUCCCACAGCAGCAACUUCUGCUUCCGGGAUUGCCUGGAACCAGACAUGGAAACUCACCAGGGAUACCUUCUGGAGAGAGCCCAGGACUGUGGAGGCGAGGCAGCCCAUGGCCGUGAGAGUGGGGAACUCGCCCUCAGAGAGAAUGUGCUGGUCACCCUCGAAGUUCGUCUCAUCAAACAGGAUCCAGCUAGGGAAGGGGAAGAAAUGGAGGGUAUCUGAGCCUACCUGUCCUUGGCCUGCCCAGGUUCCCCUGAGAUACAGAAGAGGGAAUGCAGACUUGAUCAUGAUCCCCUGUCCCAGGGGAGGUGGGAUGAACAGGCACUACAGCAGCAGGGAAUGAGGUCAGACCUAAGAAAAGACUGAAUGAAAUCAUACUGCCCCUAUGGAGGGGAAUUUGGCAAUAUUAGGCAAAACUCCAUGAGUAAUUACUCAGCAAUCUCAUACCUAGGAAUCCAUCCCAAGGACACCAUUUGAAAACAUGAAAUAACACAUGCAGGGGGCUAUUCAUUAUGGCACUUCUGCAAUAGAAAAGGGGGGAAGCAGCCCAGAUGUCCAUCAAUAGGGGAUUGGAGCUGAAUAAAUUAAGAAAAAGUGGGCUGGGCGCGGUGGCUCACGCCUGUAAUCCCAGCACUUUGGGAGGCUGAGGCGGGCAGAUCACGAGGUCAGGAGAUCGAGACCAUCCUGGCUAACACAGUGAAACCCCGUCUCUAUUAAAAAUACAAAAGAUUAGCCAGGCGUGGUGGCGGGCACCUGUAGUCCCAGCUACUCAGGAGGCUGAGGCAGGAGAAUGGCAUGAACCCAGGAGGCGGAGCUUACAGUGAGCUGAGAUCACGCCACUACACUCCAGCCUGGGCAACAGAGCGAGACUCCGUGUCAAAAAAAAAAAAAAAAAAGAAAGAAAAAGUGGAGUAUAAUGCAGCAGUUAAGUGGAAUGAAAAAGAGCUCUUAAAGGGAUAUAAAGUGAUCUCCAAACAGAUGAAAAAAGCAGGUGCAUAACAGUGCUUAUAGCAAACUUCCUUUAAAAAACUGAGAUAUAAUUCACAUGCCAUAAAAUUCACACUUUUUGUUGUUGUUAUUGUUGUUGUUGUUGUUGAGAUGGAGUUUCCCUAUUGUUGCCCAGGCUGGAGUGCAAUGGCGCGAUCUCAGCUCACUGUAACCUCCGCCUCCUGGGUUUAAGCAAUUCUCCUGCAUCAGCCUCCUGAGUAGCUGGGACUACAGGCAUGCGCCACCACACCCAGCUAAUUUUGUAUUUUUAGUAGAGAUGGGGUUUCACCGUGUUGGCCAGGCUGGUCUCAAGCUCCUAACCUCAAGUGAUCCACCCACCUCGGCCUCCCAGAGUGCUGGGAUUACAGGCAUGAGCCACUGCACCUGGCCAAAAUUCACACUUUUAAGGUGUACAAUUUAGUGUUUUUUUUAUUAUAUUAACCCAGUUAUAGUAUGUUCCCUUUUAUGUAA